Molecule: ribosomal RNA, 314 nt
Filed under: Salmonella enterica subsp. enterica serovar Cerro
Lineage: Bacteria; Pseudomonadati; Pseudomonadota; Gammaproteobacteria; Enterobacterales; Enterobacteriaceae
Description: bacterial LSU rRNA
Rfam family: Bacterial large subunit ribosomal RNA
Source: RNAcentral
CCCAGACAGCCAGGAUGUUGGCUUAGAAGCAGCCAUCAUUUAAAGAAAGCGUAAUAGCUCACUGGUCGAGUCGGCCUGCGCGGAAGAUGUAACGGGGCUAAACCAUGCACCGAAGCUGCGGCAGCGACACUAUGUGUUGUUGGGUAGGGGAGCGUUCUGUAAGCCUGUGAAGGUGGCCUGUGAGGGUUGCUGGAGGUAUCAGAAGUGCGAAUGCUGACAUAAGUAACGAUAAAGCGGGUGAAAAGCCCGCUCGCCGGAAGACCAAGGGUUCCUGUCCAACGUUAAUCGGGGCAGGGUGAGUCGACCCCUAAGGC